This 510-nucleotide ribosomal RNA is filed under the name uncultured bacterium. RNAcentral describes it as "bacterial SSU rRNA". It matches the Rfam family "Bacterial small subunit ribosomal RNA", at positions 40 to 507 of the family's 1533-position model. The record is from RNAcentral.
CGGCAUGCCUAAGACAUGCAAGUCGAACGAAGUGGCCCAUUGAAGAUGGAGUGCUUGCACAAAGUCAGAUUUGGUUUACCACUUAGUGGCAGACGGGUGAGUAACACGUGGGUAACCUACCUCAAAGACUGGGACAACAGUUGGAAACGACUGCUAAUACCGGAUAAUCCAUAUUUAGAUAACUAGAUAUGUUAAAAGAAGCGUUUGCUUCACUUUGAGAUGAGCCUGCGGCGCAUUAGCUAGUUGGUAGGGUAAAGGCCUACCAAGGCGACGAUGCGUAGCCGACCUGAGAGGGUGAACGGCCACAACUGGGACUGAGACACGGCCCAGACUCCUACGGGAGGCAGCAGUAGGGAAUUUUCGGCAAUGGGCGAAAGCCUGACCGAGCAACGCCGCGUGAACGAAGAAGGUCUUCGGAUUGUAAAGUUCUGUUGUUGAGGAAGAAUGUGCCUUAUAGGGAAUGAUAAGGUAAUGACGGUACUCAAUUAGAAAGCCACGGCUAACUACGUG